RNAcentral lists this ribosomal RNA (468 nucleotides) under uncultured bacterium. RNAcentral describes it as "partial 16S ribosomal RNA". It matches the Rfam family "Bacterial small subunit ribosomal RNA", at positions 28 to 507 of the family's 1533-position model. The record is from RNAcentral.
GACGAACGCUGGCGGCGUGCUUAACACAUGCAAGUCGAACGGAAAGGCCCGGCUUUUGUGGGGUGCUCGAGUGGCGAACGGGUGAGUAACACGUGAGUAACCUGCCCUUGACUUUGGGAUAACUUCAGGAAACAGGGGCUAAUACCGGAUAGGAGCUCCUGCUGCAUGGGGGGGGUUGGAAAGUUUCGGCGGUUGGGGAUGGACUCGCGGGUUAUCAGCUUGUUGGUGGGGUAGUGGCUUACCAAGGCUUUGACGGGUAGCCGGCCUGGGAGGGUGACCGGGGACAUUGGGACUAAGAUACGGCCCAGAAUCCUACGGGAGGCAGCAGUGGGGAAUAUUGCACAAUGGGGGGAGGCGUGAUGCAGCAACGCCGCGUGCGGGAUGACGGCCUUCGGGUUGUAAACCGCUUUCGCCUGUGACGAAGCGUGAGUGACGGUAAUGGGUAAAGAAGCACCGGCUAACUACGUG